This 1230-nucleotide long non-coding RNA is filed under the name Nicotiana tabacum (common tobacco). Its description in RNAcentral is "long non-coding RNA (NTAB_LNC009276)". Lineage: Eukaryota; Viridiplantae; Streptophyta; Magnoliopsida; Solanales; Solanaceae. The record is from RNAcentral.
CCUGGGAAACCCGUUUUGAAACCAAAACCCAGCAUACCCCAUUGUACAGAAUCCGCACAAAGAAUCCACUUUGUAAAUAUUUCCCCCACAUAGCUUCCUCUUGUACAAGUUCCCACAGAAUACCUCCAAUAAAAUCCCCGUUGAGAACCUUCAAUCAAAACGGGACAAAAAGAAAAAGGGCCUUACGAGGCAAAUCAUCACAGAAUCCGGAAAUACAAGCCUAAGCAGUCUAAAGGUUUCGCCAUUCAAUUCGAAUCAAUGGCGGGAUUUUCGCAACAGAAGUAAAGACGCAACGAAGCAAUUGGGAACGAUCAAGGUCACCAAACCGACCGUCAUUUUCGAACUAACAAUUGUUCUUUGUCUGAGAAAUUGAAACAGGUGUUAAUCCAAGACAACCGUGCAAGAAGUAGGUGUCGCCCAAAGAAGAAGGUACACGGGUACAAGAAACAUUUUGGCAAUAAGGAAUUCACUAGAAAGGUAGGUUUCCACCAAACUCCCUUUUAUCUUCUACUAAAACAAGAAAAUUCAAAAAAAAAGAGGUCGCUUAACUUUGUCCCUAGCCAAUCAGUAUUAGGGUUUUAAACCCUAAACUGAAUUUUCCUUUUAGUCAGCAUUAGGGUUUUAAACCCUAAACUGAACUUUUCCCUUUCAGCCAGCACUAGGGUUUUAAACCCUAAACUGAGCUUUUCCAUCCAAUCAGUAUUAGGGUUUUAAACCCUAAACUGAAUUUUCCUUUUAGUCAGCAUUAGGGUUUUAAACCCUAAACUGAACUUUUUCCUUUCAGCCAGCAUUAGAGUUUUAAACUCUAAACUGAGCUUUUCCAUGCAAUCAGCAUUAGGGUUUUAAACCCUAAACUGAAUUUUCCUUUUAGUCAGCAUUAGGGUUUUAAACCCUAAACUGAACUUUUUCCUUUCAGCCAGCAUUAGAGUUUUAAACUCUAAACUGAGCUUUUCCAUGCAGUCAGCAUUAGGGUUUUAAACCCUAAACUGAACUUUUUCCUUUCAGCCAGCAUCAGAGUUUUAAACUCUAAACUGAGCUUUUCCAUGCAAUCAGCAUUAGGGUUUUAAACCCUAAACUGAAUUUUCCUUCUAGUCAGCAUUAGGGUUUUAACCCUAAACUGAACUUUUUCCUUUCAGCCAGCAUUAGAGUUUUAAACUCUAAACUGAGCUUUCCCAUGCAGUCAGCAUUAGGGUUUUAAACCCUAAACUGAACUUUUUCCUUUCAGCCAGC